GUGCCAGCCGCCGCGGUAAUACGGAGGGGGCUAGCGUUGUUCGGAAUUACUGGGCGUAAAGCGUGCGCAGGCGGUUUUGUAAGACAGAUGUGAAAUCCCUGGGCUUAACCUGGGAACUGCAUUUGUGACUGCAAGGCCAGAGUACGGCAGAGGGGGGUAGAAUUCCAUGUGUAGCAAUGAAAUGCGUAGAUAUGUGGAGGAAUACCAAUGGCGAAGGCAGCCCCCUGGGUUAACACUGACGCUCAUGCACGAAAGCGUGGGGAGCAAACAGGAUUAGAUACCCUGGUAGUCCACGCCCUAA
Molecule: ribosomal RNA, 301 nt
Filed under: uncultured bacterium
Lineage: Bacteria
Description: bacterial SSU rRNA
Rfam family: Bacterial small subunit ribosomal RNA
Source: RNAcentral